RNAcentral lists this ribosomal RNA (296 nucleotides) under uncultured bacterium. RNAcentral describes it as "partial 16S ribosomal RNA". It matches the Rfam family "Bacterial small subunit ribosomal RNA", at positions 775 to 1067 of the family's 1533-position model. The record is from RNAcentral.
GGAUUAGAUACCCUGGUAGUCCACGCAGUAAACGUUGAUCACUAGGUGUAGCGGGUAUUGACCCCUGCUGUGCCGAAGCUAACGCAUUAAGUGAUCCGCCUGGGGAGUACGGUCGCAAGAUUAAAACUCAAAGGAAUUGACGGGGGCCCGCACAAGCGGUGGAGCAUGUGGUUUAAUUCGACGCAACGCGAAGAACCUUACCUGGAUUUGACAUCCUGGGAAUCCUUUCGAAAGUUUGGAGUGCCCUUCGGGGAGCCCAGUGACAGGUGCUGCAUGGCUGUCGUCAGCUCGUGUCG